This 397-nucleotide ribosomal RNA is filed under the name uncultured bacterium. Its description in RNAcentral is "partial 16S ribosomal RNA". It matches the Rfam family "Bacterial small subunit ribosomal RNA", at positions 523 to 918 of the family's 1533-position model. The record is from RNAcentral.
AUACGUAGGGGGCGAGCGUUGUCCGGAAUGAUUGGGCGUAAAGGGCGCGUAGGCGGCCCGGUAAGUCUGGAGUGAAAGUCCUGUUUUUAAGAUGGGAAUUGCUUUGGAUACUGUCGGGCUUGAGUGCAGGAGAGGUAAGUGGAAUUCCCAGUGUAGCGGUGAAAUGCGUAGAGAUUGGGAGGAACACCAGUGGCGAAGGCGACUUACUGGACUGUAACUGACGCUGAGGCGCGAAAGUGUGGGGAGCAAACAGGAUUAGAUACCCUGGUAGUCCACACUGUAAACGAUGAAUGCUAGGUGUAGGGGGUAUCGACCCCUUCUGUGCCGCAGUCAACACAAUAUGCAUUCCGCCUGGGGAGUACGGCCGCAAGGUUGAAACUCAAAGGAAUUGACGGGG